GAUGAACGCUAGCGGCAGGCCUAAUACAUGCAAGUCGGACGGGAUCCAUCGGUAGCUUGCUACCGAUGGUGAGAGUGGCGCACGGGUGCGUAACGCGUGAGCAACCUGCCCAUAUCAGGGGGAUAGCCCGGAGAAAUCCGGAUUAACACCGCAUGACACUGCUUUCCGGCAUCGGGAGGCGGUCAAAUAUUCCUAGGAUAUGGAUGGGCUCGCGUGACAUUAGCUAGUUGGUGGGGUAACGGCCCACCAAGGCGACGAUGUCUAGGGGCUCUGAGAGGAGAAUCCCCCACACUGGUACUGAGACACGGACCAGACUCCUACGGGAGGCAGCAGUAAGGAAUAUUGGUCAAUGGGGGCAACCCUGAACCAGCCAUGCCGCGUGCAGGACGACUGCCCUAUGGGUUGUAAACUGCUUUUGUUAGGGAAUAAACCCCGCUACGUGUAGCGGGCUGAAUGUACCUAAAGAAUAAGGAUCGGCUAGCUCCGUGCCAGCCGCCGCCGUAA
Molecule: ribosomal RNA, 504 nt
Filed under: uncultured bacterium
Lineage: Bacteria
Description: partial 16S ribosomal RNA
Rfam family: Bacterial small subunit ribosomal RNA
Source: RNAcentral